AGUGAACGCUGGCGGUAGGCCUAACACAUGCGAGUCGAACGGCAGCACAGUAAGAGCUUGCUCUUACGGGUGGCGAGUGGCGGACGGGUGAGGAAUACAUCGGAAUCUACUUUUUCGUGGGGGACAACGUAGGGAAACUUACGCUAAUACCGCAUACGACCUACGGGUGAAAGCAGGGGAUCUUCGGACCUUGCGCGAUUGAAUGAGCCGAUGUCGGGUUAGCUAGUUGGCGGGGUAAAGGCCCACCAAGGCGACGAUCCGUAGCUGGUCUGAGAGGAUGAUCAGCCACACUGGAACUGAGACACGGUCCAGACUCCUACGGGAGGCAGCAGUGGGGAAUAUUGGACAAUGGGCGCAAGCCUGAUCCAGCCAUACCGCGUGGGUGAAGAAGGCCUUCGGGUUGUAAAGCCCUUUUGUUGGGAAAGAAAAGCAGCAGGUUAAUACCCCGCUGUUCUGACGGUACCCAAAGAAUAAGCACCGGCUAACUUCGUG
This 492-nucleotide ribosomal RNA is filed under the name uncultured bacterium. RNAcentral describes it as "partial 16S ribosomal RNA". It matches the Rfam family "Bacterial small subunit ribosomal RNA", at positions 29 to 507 of the family's 1533-position model. The record is from RNAcentral.